AAAUUACCUGAGUAGCAUCAUUAUAGUUCUCGAUAUCUCCACUUCCAGUUUUACAUUUACCAUCAUUAAAAUCCCAUCCAGAAUAUGGGACUGCUGGAAAGUCCCUACUUCCAGGGUUGAAGUAACUUCCACAGGAACAAGCAGUACCUGUGGAAGUUACUUCAACCCUGGAAGUAGGGACUUUCCAGCAGUCCCAUAUUCUGGAUGGGAUUUUAAUGAUGGUAAAUGUAAAACUGGAAGUGGAGAUAUCGAGAACUAUAAUGAUGCUACUCAGGUCAGAGAUUGUCGUCUGUCUGGUCUUCUCGAUCUUGCACUGGGGAAGGAUUAUGUGCGUUCUAAGAUUGCCGAAUAUAUGAACCAUCUCAUUGACAUUGGUGUUGCAGGGUUCAGAAUUGAUGCUUCCAAGCACAUGUGGCCUGGAGACAUAAAGGCAAUUUUG
This 439-nucleotide long non-coding RNA is filed under the name Homo sapiens (human). RNAcentral describes it as "HSALNT0011750". Lineage: Eukaryota; Metazoa; Chordata; Mammalia; Primates; Hominidae. The record is from RNAcentral.